CAGCAUCCACUACGGACUACGAGAAAUAGAAUUAUCGGUAAGUAAAUUCUUAUUAUCUAUGGUAAUAGUACAGGGACAUGACUGUGGAGGUGAGGGGAUAUUUACAGUGAUAUUUAUGUCUCCCCCAUUUCACAGAGGUGUGAAGAAGACAUCUGGUGAGCGUGAGACACCCAGCAGCCAUGCUCAUGUGUCAGGAGGACUGAGCAGGUCCCAGAGCACCAUCAUGGUGCCUCCACCUCACUCACUGAUACAUGAGAGACACAGUGACCAGAAGAUCCAGGAACUCACCAACAAGAUCAUUCCACUGCUGACUGGAGAGGAGGGGGAGUAUAUAGAGGAACACAGGGGUCUGUACAAGGACUUGAUGAUGGAGAAUCACCGGCCCCUCACAUCACUGGAUGGGCCCAGUAACAGAGAUACCCCAGAGAGAUGUCCCCGUCCUCUGUAUUCCCAGGAUUGUACAGAGGAGAAUUACAGGAUCCCACAGGAG
Molecule: long non-coding RNA, 490 nt
Organism: Pseudophryne corroboree (corroboree frog)
Lineage: Eukaryota; Metazoa; Chordata; Amphibia; Anura; Myobatrachidae
Exons: 3
Source: RefSeq, a predicted model, not a curated record